UCCUGGUCCAUAGAGUUGCCCUUCAGACUCUUCAAAAAACUAGUUCAAAACUUCAAAAAACUGGUUCAGACUCUUCAAAAAACUUCAAAAAACCGCUCGUAUACCUGCUCGACGCUUGCUCACUAUUUCUUCUGAUCGGUAGAGCACAC
Long non-coding RNA from Neodiprion virginianus, 149 nucleotides. RefSeq lists it as uncharacterized. The record is from RefSeq and is a predicted model, not a curated record. The transcript is spliced from 3 exons. NCBI's taxonomy places the organism in Eukaryota, Metazoa, Arthropoda, Insecta, Hymenoptera, Diprionidae.